GUCAGGUUGGCUCAGUUG
Molecule: unclassified non-coding RNA, 18 nt
Filed under: Dictyostelium discoideum
Lineage: Eukaryota; Evosea; Eumycetozoa; Dictyosteliales; Dictyosteliaceae
Source: RNAcentral